This 494-nucleotide ribosomal RNA is filed under the name uncultured bacterium. RNAcentral describes it as "partial 16S ribosomal RNA". It matches the Rfam family "Bacterial small subunit ribosomal RNA", at positions 28 to 507 of the family's 1533-position model. The record is from RNAcentral.
GACGAACGCUGGCGGCGUGCUUAACACAUGCAAGUCGAACGGAGAGGCCUGCUUUCCCUUGUGGAUUGCGGGUACUCGAGUGGCGAACGGGUGAGUAACACGUGAGUGAUCUGCCCCCAACUUGGGUAUAAGCCUGGGAAACUGGGUCUAAUUCCCGAUAGGACUGCAGGGUGGUGCCUGUGGUGGAAAACGAUUUUCUAGUGGUUGGUGAUGAGCUCGCGGCCUAUCAGCUUGUUGGUGGGGUAAUGGCCUACCAAGGCGGCGACGGGUAGCCGGCCUGGGAGGGUCGACGGCCACAUUGGGACUGGGAUAAGGCCCAGACUCCUACGGGAGGCAGCAGUGGGGAAGAUGGCACAAUGGGCGGAAGCCUGAUGCAGCGACGCAGCGUGGGGGAUGACGGCCUUCGGGUUGUAAACUCCUUUCGACCGCGAGGAAGCCACCUGGUUGGAAGGGUGGUGACGGUAGUGGUAGAAGAAGCACCGGCUAACUACGUG